RNAcentral lists this long non-coding RNA (734 nucleotides) under Musa acuminata (dwarf banana). Its description in RNAcentral is "long non-coding RNA (MACU_LNC007037)". The record is from RNAcentral. Lineage: Eukaryota; Viridiplantae; Streptophyta; Magnoliopsida; Zingiberales; Musaceae.
GAAGCCUCAGGUGUAAUUACAUUUGAAGAAUCGUUCGAAGUUAAAACUCAAACGACUAAGAGACAAAGGCAAGUUUUUUAACCGAACCUAACAGUGCAACCAGUUAAUUGAUGUCAGUCCUUAUAUUGACUUUUUUUCUAGAUCUAGACAAAGAAAGACUUGGAUGGCUGAAUAAUGCCUGGUUAUAUAGGUUUUAACAUUACUUAUAUUGACUUUUUCUGAUUCCUUUCUCUAGUUGGCCUAUUACUUGCCAAUGCAUGUGCCUGUAGCAGUUAAAAUAACAAGAAUAUUAAUCAAAGUGGGUUUAAGGUUUUAAUGAAGUAAUGAUUCUACACGAGGGUGGAGGAUGAUUUUUUUUCUCAAACUAGUAUUGUAGUGCAUAGGUCAAUGUGCUAAAUCUGACUGUAUUUUAUUUGGCUUCCUCUUUCCAAGUGUGAAUUUUUAUCUUGUUUUUGCAUUAUGCUUUAAAACCAUUUUCCAAGUUGUUUACCAUAAAAGUUUCAAGUUUUCAAUGAAAAUAUUUGUGAAAAAAUACUGCUCACAAAUUUACAAAGUGUUCUUUGAAAAUAAAAAAUUAAAAUUUGUGGUGUCUGUUGUGUAGGUUUGGUUUUAAAAGCAAAAGAAAAUCUUCCAAACUAUCGACUUCUGCACCGGUGGAUGCUAUGGUGGAAUGAUUGCCAAGAAAAAUUACUUCUAAAUCCCUGAUUGUCUCGUGCUUAGGUAUCAGUACAGGU